RNAcentral lists this ribosomal RNA (442 nucleotides) under Aleiodes rufipes. RNAcentral describes it as "eukaryotic LSU rRNA". The record is from RNAcentral. Lineage: Eukaryota; Metazoa; Arthropoda; Insecta; Hymenoptera; Braconidae.
CUGAGAAACCCAAAAGAUCGAAUGGGGAGAUUCAUCGUCAGCUCAUUUUGUAUAUGUAUAAGUUACGAUGCGGGUUACUACUUGUAGUAUUGCCUGCACGUUCUUGUAUAUUUAGUUGCAAGAUGUUGUCGGCGUGCACUUCUUCCCUAGUAGGACGUCGCGACCCGUUGGGUGUCGGUCUACGGCCCAAGUGAUAGCCUUUAAUGUAAUUUAAAAAUCAUUGAAGAUCCUUGGUGUUUUCUGACCGGCUACUCGGCGGUACACGUACGGUAUUUAGCCGCUAAUUUAUUAGCGUCCAUGUCCGUCACAAGCGAGGCCAAUUUACUGAUAGUGCGGANCUAGCGCCGUCGUUGGUAUUGGCCAGCUGUUGGUUGUACGUGAUUCUGGGACUGGCUAANAUUAAUUACCGGUCGGCGAUGCUACUGCUUUGGGUACUUUCAGG